GCAAACUUGGUCAUUUAGAGGAAGUAAAAGUCGUAACAAGGUUUCCGUAGGUGAACCUGCGGAAGGAUCAUUAACAAAGUGUAAAAAAACCCUCAUUCUUUAGAAAGAGGGGGAUUCACAAAAAUCCUCACUUUGUGUGCAUUGUUUUAUUGUAUUUGGCGGUUCAUUUUUUGAUUGUUCUUGUUAUUUUAUUAUAACAAAAAUUUUUCAAAGAGGGAACCGCCACUUGUAUUUCUACAUACAAAACUUUGUGUUAUAAAUAUAUAUUUUUGUCUGAUUUUUGUAAAAAAUUGUGUUUAAAAGCAAUUUUAAAAAAAACAAAAAACAACUUUUGACAACGGAUCUCUUGGCUCUCGCAUCGAUGAAGAACGCAGC
This 375-nucleotide unclassified non-coding RNA is filed under the name uncultured fungus. RNAcentral describes it as "partial contains small subunit ribosomal RNA, internal transcribed spacer 1, and 5.8S ribosomal RNA". The stretch from base 1 to 73 matches the Rfam family "Eukaryotic small subunit ribosomal RNA", at positions 1759 to 1831 of the family's 1831-position model. Lineage: Eukaryota; Fungi. The record is from RNAcentral.